This 498-nucleotide ribosomal RNA is filed under the name uncultured bacterium. RNAcentral describes it as "partial 16S ribosomal RNA". It matches the Rfam family "Bacterial small subunit ribosomal RNA", at positions 30 to 523 of the family's 1533-position model. The record is from RNAcentral.
AUUGAACGCUGGCGGCAUGCCUUACACAUGCAAGUCGAACGGUAACAGGUCUUCGGAUGCUGACGAGUGGCGAACGGGUGAGUAAUACAUCGGAACGUGCCUAGUAGUGGGGGAUAACUACUCGAAAGAGUGGCUAAUACCGCAUGAGAUCUACGGAUGAAAGCAGGGGAUCGCAAGAUCUUGUGGCACUAGAGAGGGCAAUGGCAGAUUAGGUAGUUGGUGGGAUAAAAGCUUACCAAGCCGACGAUCUGUAGCUGGUCUGAGAGGACGAUCAGCCACACUGGGACUGAGACACGGCCCAGACUCCUACGGGAGGCAGCAGUGGGGAAUUUUGGACAAUGGGCGAAAGCCUGAUCCAGCAAUGCCGCGUGCAGGAUGAAGGCCUUCGGGUUGUAAACUGCUUUUGUACGGAACGAAAAGCCCCGGGUUAAUACCCUGGGGUCAUGACGGUACCGUAAGAAUAAGCACCGGCUAACUACGUGCCAGCCGCCGCCGUAA